UACGUAGGAGGCGAGCGUUGUCCGGAGUUACUGGGCGUAAAGGGUGCGCAGGCGGCUGGGCAAGUUUGCGGUGAAAUCCCCUGGCUCAACUGGGGGGGUGCCGUGAAAACUGCUCUGGCUUGAGACUCGCAGGGGGGCGCGGAAUUCCGGGUGGAGCGGUGAAAUGCGUAGAGAUCCGGAGGAACGCCGACGGCGCAGGCGGCGCCCUGGACGAGGUCUGACGCUCAGGCACGAAAGCUGGGGGAGCAAA
This 250-nucleotide ribosomal RNA is filed under the name uncultured bacterium. Its description in RNAcentral is "partial 16S ribosomal RNA". It matches the Rfam family "Bacterial small subunit ribosomal RNA", at positions 524 to 772 of the family's 1533-position model. The record is from RNAcentral.